GGGUCAGUAGGCUGGUCGUGCCACCGGUACGUACUGGUCUCACUGAUUCCUCCUUCCUGAAGAACCGUAAUGCCAUUAAUUUGGUGUUGCGGGGAAACAGGACUGUUACUUGGAAAAAAUUAGAGUGUUUAAACCAAGCUAACGCUUGAAUACAUUAGCAUGGAAUCAUGAAAUAGGACGAUCGAUCCUAUUUUGUUGGUUUCUAGGAUUGACGUA
Molecule: ribosomal RNA, 216 nt
Filed under: Glomeromycotina sp.
Lineage: Eukaryota; Fungi; Glomeromycota
Description: partial small subunit ribosomal RNA
Source: RNAcentral